GACCCCGUGGCGCAGUGGGUAGCGCGCUUGUUUUGGAAAUUUGCAUCGGGGGUUCGACUCCGCGAGGUGGCA
Non-coding RNA from Caenorhabditis brenneri, 72 nucleotides. Lineage: Eukaryota; Metazoa; Nematoda; Chromadorea; Rhabditida; Rhabditidae. The record is from the annotation of a GenBank genome assembly.